RNAcentral lists this ribosomal RNA (468 nucleotides) under uncultured bacterium. Its description in RNAcentral is "partial 16S ribosomal RNA". It matches the Rfam family "Bacterial small subunit ribosomal RNA", at positions 28 to 507 of the family's 1533-position model. The record is from RNAcentral.
GACGAACGCUGGCGGCGUGCUUAACACAUGCAAGUCGAACGGAAAGGCCCUGCUUUUGUGGGGUGCUCGAGUGGCGAACGGGUGAGUAACACGUGGGUAACCUGCCCUUGACUUUGGGAUAACUUCAGGAAACUGGGGCUAAUACCGGAUAGGAGCUCCUGCUGCAUGGUGGGGGUUGGAAAGUUUCGGCGGUUGGGGAUGGACUCGCGGCUUAUCAGCUUGUUGGUGGGGUAGUGGCUUACCAAGGCUUUGACGGGUAGCCGGCCUGAGAGGGUGACCGGCCACAUUGGGACUGAGAUACGGCCCAGACUCCUACGGGAGGCAGCAGUGGGGAAUAUUGCACAAUGGGCGGAAGCCUGAUGCAGCAACGCCGCGUGCGGGAUGACGGCCUUCGGGUUGUAAACCGCUUUCGCCUGUGACGAAGCGUGAGUGACGGUAAUGGGUGAAGAAGCACCGGCUAACUACGUG